GUUAUCGAUGGCGAUGCGUUCCAUUAGGCAGUUGGUGAGGUAACGGCUCACCAAACCUUCGAUGGAUAGGGGUUCUGAGAGGAAGGUCCCUCACAUUGGAACUGAGACACGGUCCAAACUCGUACGGGAGGCAGCAGUGUGGAAUAUUGGUCAAUGGGCGCAGGCGUGAACCAGCCAAGUAGCGUGAAGGAUGACUGCCGUAAGGGUUGUAAACUUCUUUUAUAUGGGAAUAAAGUUUUCCACGUGUGGAAUUUUGUAUGUACCAUAUGAAUAAGGAUGGGCUAACUCCGUGCCAGCAGCCGCGGUAAUACGGAGGAUCCGAGCGUUGUCCGGAUUUAUUGGGUUUAAAGGGAGCGUAGGUGGUCAGUUUAGUCAUUUGUGAAAGUUUGCGGCUCCACCGUAAAAUCGCAGUUGAUACUGCCUGUCUUGAGUACAGUAGAGGUGGGCGGAAUUCGUGGUGUAGCGGUGAAAUGCUUAGAUAUCACGAAGAACUCCGAUUGCGAAGGCAGCUCACUGGACUGCUACUGACGCUGAUGCUCGAAAGUGUGGGUAUCAAACAGGAUUAGAUACCCUGGUAGUCCAC
Molecule: ribosomal RNA, 583 nt
Filed under: uncultured organism
Description: SSU rRNA
Rfam family: Bacterial small subunit ribosomal RNA
Source: RNAcentral